AGAGUUUGAUCCUGGCUCAGGACGAACGCUGGCGGUGCGCCUUAUGCAUGCAAGUUGAGCGAAGCUUUUUGGUAGUUUACUACUAGAAAUGACUGAGCGGCGAACGGGUGAGUAACGCGUGAGCAAUCUACCUUAGUUACUGGGAUAGCCCGAGGAAACUCGGAUUAAUACCAGAUAUUCUUAUUUUUUCACAUGAAGUUUUAAGGAAAGGUCAGCCGAACUAAGAUGAGCUCGCGUUCUAUCAGCUAGUUGGUGGGGUAAAAGCCUACCAAGGCUACGACGGAUAGCUGGUCUGAGAGGACGAUCAGCCACACUGGGACUGAGACACGGCCCAGACUCCUACGGGAGGCUGCAGCAGGGAAUAUUGUGCAAUGAGCGAAAGCUUGACACAGCGACACCGCGUGUGGGAUGACGGUUCUAGGAUUGUAAACCACUUUCAGGAGGGAAGAAAAUGACGGUACCUCCACAAGAAGACCCGGCCAACUAUGUGCCAGCGGCCGCGGUAAU
RNAcentral lists this ribosomal RNA (507 nucleotides) under uncultured bacterium. RNAcentral describes it as "bacterial SSU rRNA". It matches the Rfam family "Bacterial small subunit ribosomal RNA", at positions 8 to 524 of the family's 1533-position model. The record is from RNAcentral.